Molecule: ribosomal RNA, 247 nt
Filed under: uncultured bacterium
Lineage: Bacteria
Description: partial 16S ribosomal RNA
Rfam family: Bacterial small subunit ribosomal RNA
Source: RNAcentral
GAUCCUGGCUCAGGAUGAACGCUGGCGGCGUGCCUAACACAUGCAAGUCGAGCGAUCUCUUCGGAGAGAGCGGCGGACGGGUGAGUAACGCGUGGGUAACCUGCCCUGUACACACGGAUAACAUACCGAAAGGUAUGCUAAUACGGGAUAAUAUAUAAGAGUCGCAUGACUUUUAUAUCAAAGAUUUUUCGGUACAGGAUGGACCCGCGUCUGAUUAGCUUGUUGGCGGGGUAACGGCCCACCAAGG